RNAcentral lists this ribosomal RNA (257 nucleotides) under uncultured bacterium. Its description in RNAcentral is "partial 16S ribosomal RNA". It matches the Rfam family "Bacterial small subunit ribosomal RNA", at positions 524 to 776 of the family's 1533-position model. The record is from RNAcentral.
UACGUAGGGGGGCAAGCGUUUGUCCGGAAUCAUUGGGCGUAAAGCGCGUGUAGGCGGCUCGAUAAGUCUGCUGUGAAAGUCCAAGGCUCAACCUUGGGAUGCCGGUGGAUACUGUCGAGCUCGAGUCCGGAAGAGGAGUGUGGAAUUCCUGGUGUAGCGGUGAAAUGCGCAGAUAUCAGGAGGAACACCAAUGGCGAAGGCAGCACUCUGGGGACGUGACUGACGCUGAGACGCGAAAAGCGUGGGGAGCAAACAGG